GACGAACCGUGCGAACGUUAUUCGGAAUCACUGGGCUUAAAGGGCGCGUAGACGGGCGACCGCGUCGAUGGCUGAAAGCCCCCGGCUCAACCGGGGAACGGGCCUCGAUACGGGUCGCCUCGAGUGGAGGAGGGGGACCUGGAACUGCCGGUGGAGCGGUGAAAUGCGUUGAGAUCGGCAGGAACGCCUGUGGCGAAAGCGGGUUGCUGGGCCGACACUGACGCUGAGGCGCGAAAGCCAGGGGAGCGAACGGG
RNAcentral lists this ribosomal RNA (254 nucleotides) under uncultured bacterium. RNAcentral describes it as "partial 16S ribosomal RNA". It matches the Rfam family "Bacterial small subunit ribosomal RNA", at positions 524 to 776 of the family's 1533-position model. The record is from RNAcentral.